Unclassified non-coding RNA from Cricetulus griseus (Chinese hamster), 196 nucleotides. Ensembl annotates it as predicted gene, 27389. Lineage: Eukaryota; Metazoa; Chordata; Mammalia; Rodentia; Cricetidae. The record is from Ensembl.
GGGAAGGGAGGAGUGGAAGCUGGUUUGCUGGGGCCACCCAGGGUGGGCUCAGGAAGGGAAGGAAUGUGAUUGAGGCUGGGUGGGGCUAGGGAGAGCACAGCCAGUUGUGGGUUUUUCUUGGGGCCCAGAAGAUGUGAAUGGAUAUGGAAGCCCCUCUCUGCCAGUCCCAGCAUACACACACUAGGAUCAUUCUUUG